UCUGUCUUCAGUAUGUGAAUGUGCAC
RNAcentral lists this non-coding RNA (26 nucleotides) under Rattus norvegicus (Norway rat). Lineage: Eukaryota; Metazoa; Chordata; Mammalia; Rodentia; Muridae. The record is from RNAcentral.